AUUGAACGCUGGCGGCAGGCCUAACACAUGCAAGUCGAACGAGUGGCGGACGGGUGAGUAAUGUCUGGGAACCUGCCCGAUGGAGGGGGAUAACUACUGGAAACGGUAGCUAAUACCGCAUACCAUCGGAUGUGCCCAGAUGGGAUUAGCUAGUAGGUGGGGUAACAGCGCACCUAGGCGACGAUCUCUCGCUGGUCUGAGAGGAUGACAAGCAACGCUGGAACUGAGACACGGUCCAGACUACUACGGGAGUCAGCAUUGGGGAAUAGUGUAAAAUGGGCGCAAGCCUGAUGCAGCCAUGCCGCGUGUAUGAAGAAGGCCGUCGGGUUGUAAAGUACUUUCAGCGAGGAGGCGUUACUCGCAGAAGAAGCACCGGCUAACUCCGUGCCAGCAGCCGCGGUAAUUC
Molecule: ribosomal RNA, 406 nt
Filed under: uncultured bacterium
Lineage: Bacteria
Description: partial 16S ribosomal RNA
Rfam family: Bacterial small subunit ribosomal RNA
Source: RNAcentral